CCUACGGGUGGCAGCAGUGGGGAAUAUUGGACAAUGGGGGGAACCCUGAUCCAGCGACGCCGCGUGAGUGAAGAAGUAUUUCGGUAUGUAAAGCUCUAUCAGCAGGGAAGAAAAUGACGGUACCUGACUAAGAAGCCCCGGCUAACUACGUGCCAGCAGCCGCGGUAAUACGUAGGGGGCAAGCGUUAUCCGGAUUUACUGGGUGUAAAGGGAGCGUAGACGGUGCAGCAAGUCUGAUGUGAAAGGUCGGGGCCCAACCCCGGAACUGCAUUUGAAACUGUCGGUCUUGAGUAUCGGAGAGGCAGGCGGAAUUCCUAGUGUAGCGGUGAAAUGCGUAGAUAUUAGGAGGAACACCAGUGGCGAAGGCGGAUUGCUGGACAGUAACUGACGCUGAGGCGCGAAAGCGUGGGGAGCAAACAGGAUUAGAUACCCUAGUAGUC
RNAcentral lists this ribosomal RNA (440 nucleotides) under uncultured bacterium. RNAcentral's name for it is "partial 16S ribosomal RNA". It matches the Rfam family "Bacterial small subunit ribosomal RNA", at positions 338 to 795 of the family's 1533-position model. The record is from RNAcentral.